UACACAUGCAGUCGAGCGGUAGCACAAAGAGCUUGCUCUCGGGUGACGAGCGGCGGACGGGUGAGUAAUGUCUGGGAAACUGCCUGAUGGAGGGGGAUAACUACUGGAAACGGUAGCUAAUACCGCAUAACGUCGCAAGACCAAAGUGGGGGACCUUCGGGCCUCAUGCCAUCAGAUGUGCCCAGAUGGGAUUAGCUAGUACGUGGGGUAACGGCUCACCUAGGCCACGAUCCCUAGCUGGUCUGAGAGGAUGACCAGCCACACUGGAACUGAGACACGGUCCAGACUCCUACCGGAGGCAGCAGUGGGGAAUAUUGCACAAUGGGCGCAAGCCUGAUGCAGCCAUGCCGCGUGUGUGAAGAAUGCCUUCGGGUUGUAAAGCACUUUCAGCGGGGAGGAAGGCAUUAAGGUUAAUAACCUUGUCGAUUGACGUUACCCGCAGAAGAAGCACCGGCUAACUCCGUGCCAGCGGCCUCGGUAAUACGGAGGGUGCAAGCGUUUAUCGAAAUUACUGGGCGUAAAGCGCACGCUGGCGGUCUGUCAAGUCGGAGUGAAAUCCCCGGGCUCAACCUGGGAACUGCAUUCGAAACUGGCAGGCUAGAGUCUUGUAGAGGGGGGUAGAAUUCCAGGUGUAGCGGUGAAAUGCGUAGAGAUCUGAGGAAUACCGGUGGCGAAGCG
This 678-nucleotide ribosomal RNA is filed under the name Klebsiella pneumoniae. RNAcentral describes it as "bacterial SSU rRNA". It matches the Rfam family "Bacterial small subunit ribosomal RNA", at positions 50 to 723 of the family's 1533-position model. The record is from RNAcentral. Lineage: Bacteria; Pseudomonadati; Pseudomonadota; Gammaproteobacteria; Enterobacterales; Enterobacteriaceae.